Molecule: transfer RNA, 77 nt
Filed under: Silvanigrellaceae bacterium
Lineage: Bacteria; Pseudomonadati; Bdellovibrionota; Oligoflexia; Silvanigrellales; Silvanigrellaceae
Description: tRNA-Glu
Rfam family: tRNA
About the family: Transfer RNA (tRNA) molecules are approximately 80 nucleotides in length. Their secondary structure includes four short double-helical elements and three loops (D, anti-codon, and T loops).
Source: RNAcentral
GACCCUUUCGUCUAGAUGGUCAAGGACGCCGCCUUUUCUCGGCGGUAACAUGGGUUCAAAUCCUGUAAGGGUCACCA